Aerococcus urinae is the source of this 74-nucleotide transfer RNA. It matches the Rfam family "tRNA". From Rfam's summary of the family: Transfer RNA (tRNA) molecules are approximately 80 nucleotides in length. Their secondary structure includes four short double-helical elements and three loops (D, anti-codon, and T loops). The record is from Rfam. NCBI's taxonomy places the organism in Bacteria, Bacillati, Bacillota, Bacilli, Lactobacillales, Aerococcaceae.
CUCGGGGUAGCUCAGCUGGAUAGAGCAACGGUCUUCUAAACCGUGGGUCGCGAGUUCGAAUCUCGCUCUCGAGA